Molecule: ribosomal RNA, 405 nt
Filed under: uncultured bacterium
Lineage: Bacteria
Description: bacterial SSU rRNA
Rfam family: Bacterial small subunit ribosomal RNA
Source: RNAcentral
UAGGGAAUAUUGCAUAAUGGGCGAAAGCCUGAUGCAGCAACGCCGCGUGUGCGAUGAAGGCCUUCGGGUUGUAAAGCACUUUUGACCGGGAAGAGGAAGGACGGUACCGGUGGAAUAAGCCUCGGCUAACUACGUGCCAGCAGCCGCGGUAAAAACGUAGGAGGCGAGCGUUAUCCGGAUUUACUGGGUGUAAAGCGCGUGCAGGCGGUCAGCUAAGUUGGGUGUGAAAGCUCCUGGCUCAACUAGGAGAGGUCGCUUAAGACUGGCGGACUGGAGAGCAGUAAGGGAAGGUGGAAUUCCGGGUGUAGUGGUGAAAUGCGUAGAUACCCGGAGGAACACCAGUGGCGAAAGCGGCCUUCUGGACUGUAUCUGACGCUCAGACGCGAAAGCUAGGGGAGCAAACGG